Molecule: non-coding RNA, 577 nt
Organism: Oryctolagus cuniculus (rabbit)
Lineage: Eukaryota; Metazoa; Chordata; Mammalia; Lagomorpha; Leporidae
Source: RefSeq, a predicted model, not a curated record
ACAUGCAGAACCAGUGACAGCCAGGUUACUCAUCAACAGAGAAAGUGUCUACACAAUGCCUCUUUAGUGGGGCAACGAGACCCAAAACAUCACCCUCACCCGUGGCCAGGAAGGGCAGGGGACACAGGCACAGCCCCCUGGGUGGCCACCCCUGGUCACAGUGCCUGAGCUGGAUGAGCUCAUAAUGCAGGUAGCGUCCAUGCCAGGGCUCUGCCGGGCCGGAGACAGAGGUACCAGGAAGAGUUCUCCAUCCGGAGGGCUUCCAGUGGGGGCUGUGAAUGCCAGGAUGGUGGGAGCCCUCUCUCCUGGGAAGGGAGCCUGUGUCUGAGUUGGAGUCCAAGGGACAGAGAUAUGCAAAUAUCGCGGUUUUCCAGUCCUGAAACAUCGAUACGGUCUGAUAGAGUCAGAGGCACGGCGCUUGGCGGGUAGCGAGGAAGACUUUGGUGACAUAAGCAGAACGUGGUCCACGCCUCCGUCUCCGAGGGGAAAGGCAGGCGCAGCAUCAGACACGGGUGGCAGUGAGUCCCAGCGGGACAGACAGUCUUGGGUGGAAAUAAAGAGUUACUAGAUACUGUAA